This 411-nucleotide ribosomal RNA is filed under the name uncultured bacterium. Its description in RNAcentral is "bacterial SSU rRNA". It matches the Rfam family "Bacterial small subunit ribosomal RNA", at positions 30 to 433 of the family's 1533-position model. The record is from RNAcentral.
AUUGAACGCUGGCGGCAGGCUUAACACAUGCAAGUCGAACGGUAACAGGGAGAAAGCUUGCUUUCUUUGCUGACGAGUGGCGGACGGGUGAGUAAUGCUUGGGAAUCUGGCUUAUGGAGGGGGAUAACGACGGGAAACUGUCGCUAAUACCGCGUAAUAUCUUCGGAUUAAAGGGUGGGACUUUUCGGGCCACCUGCCAUAAGAUGAGCCCAAGUGGGAUUAGGUAGUUGGUGGGGUAAAGGCCUACCAAGCCGACGAUCUCUAGCUGGUCUGAGAGGAUGACCAGCCACACUGGAACUGAGACACGGUCCAGACUCCUACGGGAGGCAGCAGUGGGGAAUAUUGCACAAUGGGGGGAACCCGUGAUGCAGCCAUGCCGCGUGAAUGGAGAAGGCCUCGGUUGUAAGUUAC